RNAcentral lists this ribosomal RNA (445 nucleotides) under uncultured bacterium. RNAcentral's name for it is "partial 16S ribosomal RNA". It matches the Rfam family "Bacterial small subunit ribosomal RNA", at positions 354 to 796 of the family's 1533-position model. The record is from RNAcentral.
GUAGGGAAUAUUGGGCAAUGGAUGCAAGUCUGACCCAGCCAUCCCGCGUGCCGGAAGAAGGCCCUCAGGGUUGUAAGCGGCUUUUGACGGUGAAGAAUCGACAGGAUGCGUCCUGUUUUGACGGUAGCCGUUGAAUAAGCACCGGCUAACUCCGUGCCAGCAGCCGCGGUAAUACGGAGGGUGCGAGCGUUGUCCGGAUUUAUUGGGUUUAAAGGGUGCGUAGGCUGGAAGGUCAGUCAGCGGUGAAAAGCUGUCGCUUAACGAUAGUCUUGCCGCAGAUACUUCCUUUCUUGGAUGAGGAGGAGGCCACUGGAACGGAUGGUGUAGCGGUGAAAUGCAUAGAUAUCAUCCAGAACACCGAUUGCGAAGGCAGGUGGCUGUACCUUAAUCGACGCUGAUGCACGAAAGCAUGGGGAGCAAACAGGAUUAGAAACCCCUGUAGUCC